This 260-nucleotide long non-coding RNA is filed under the name Numida meleagris (helmeted guineafowl). RNAcentral describes it as "lncRNA (ENSNMEG00000014435.1)". The record is from RNAcentral. Lineage: Eukaryota; Metazoa; Chordata; Aves; Galliformes; Numididae.
AACGGAUACAGUAUUGUCUCUGAUUUUAGUGAGGUAUAUAGAUGAGGUGAUGUUUUAAGUCACUGAUAAUGCAAGUUGAUCCUUGAGCAGAGAUUGUUGUAUCAGGAAUUUGCACAGCGGCAGGAGUGUGCAGCUGCACCCGGGCAAUUCAUCUGGGCAGAGCUUACAGAGAUCUCAGAUUUGGCCUGUUCUUUUCUGUAAAGAGCUUGACACUCAUACUGAGCUACCUUGAAGGAUUCAAAAAUAGAAACUGAUAACUU